Long non-coding RNA from Patella vulgata (common limpet), 1715 nucleotides. RefSeq lists it as uncharacterized. NCBI's taxonomy places the organism in Eukaryota, Metazoa, Mollusca, Gastropoda, Patellidae. The transcript has 4 exons. The record is from RefSeq and is a predicted model, not a curated record.
GUGUCUGUAAUCUGAUAUUUAAAUUUUAGUUUGCAUAAACUACAGUCUCCAUCGUCAGUGAGGGCUAAUUACAAUAAAUAGGACACCCUGGAAAACUGUGCGUGGUAUAUUAUAUUCACAAAGGAAGAAUCGGGCACAACUGACCAUUAAAAUGGCAGCCAGUGAAUAUGAAGCUCGUCUGUCAGGUUGUUUAAACGGUGCUGCAACAUGUUUAGCUUUAUCUAUAGCCCGAGAAUCUGGAUUAUUAAAAGUGUUUAUGGAGCCACAUCAACCUAUGAUAAUUCCACAGAUAGCUUCUAAAACUAAUCUUAAAGAACGGUAUAUAAAAGAGUUAUUGGGUUGUCUAGUUGCAUCGAGUAUAAUAGAAAUUGAUGAAGCAUCGAUCAAAUAUUUUUUACCAGAUGAACUUAGAUCAACUCUGGUCCGCGUGAUGAUGUUUCAAGAGUUGAUGGAUUUUGCUAUACAACGUAAAGAAGAUGUUAAAACCUGUUUGAAAAUGGAUUGACCAAAGGACAAAGAUAUGGGCAGUCCAUCGAAUGGUGCAAAGGGGUUGGUCAAGGUUCUGAAAGAUGAUGGAGUCCUUUUGCUUGCUGAAGUAGUAAUCAAGGGAGAUAACCACCGCGAGAAUAAAGAGGAUCCCAUGGCAAUACAAUGUUUCAUAUUCAGUACUACCGUGUGUGUUCCAGAAAGUUUGUGUCAGCGGGAUGGAAUAGGACUGGGUUGUACGUCUGGGUUGAAAAAUUUGAAAGGCAUAAUUGAACAAGCCGGAAUACCGAGUACUAAUAUAGAAAUUUAUCCACGUAAAAGUGCAAGCUUUCAAUAUCUAUUUGUUUGUCGAAAACAAUAAAAUAAAGUUAAAAGAAAACCUUUGUAACACUAUUAUAGUAAUAACAGAGAUACGAUUUAUUUACAUCAGGAACAUAAACAUAAAACAACUACAUAAAUACAACAGGAACAUAAAUUAAACAGGAACUAAACUACAUUAGGAACAUAAACAAUAACAUUAACAUGGUACAUUAAGACAACUAUUCCACUCCUCUGCCACGGCAGCUGCUGAACUCGGGUGAGUCCAUUCGCCGGUUUCUAUUCCUGUUUUCCUCACGCCUCACCGUCUUCCCUCGUCUCUGUCUGUGUCUCUGUCAGCAAACUGAUGGUUGUAUACCUUUCAACUGGUCCUACACACACAUUAUCAUAACUAUAUUUGGAGUUUACAAGGUUCUUUUUAAUUUCGCUGACAGGUAUAAUUAUAUACAGCUCCCAUCUACAUUGUCCAUUGAUAAUCUUUAAUUACCAUACAGUGCUGUACGUGUUUAGAACAAAGUGUAUAGUUGAAAAGCCAAUAUCAUAUACUAAUGUCCAAAAGAAAGUAUACACUGUGCAUUUUGUGCUGCAUCAACCGUUUUUCCAUGGUAUACGGUAUUUGGGUAGAAUGUCAAUUUGUUUCACAUUUUUAUUUCGUUUAGAAAUGUUGAGUUUGGACGCAAGAGACAAACUCAGUAAUGCUUUAUCAAAUGUUUUUAAUCUAAACAAAACUUAGUCAUACUUUUAGUGUGUAUACUUUCUUUUGAACAUCAGUAUAUAUUAUCAAAACUAGCUGGGUCAAUACGUUCACUGCAUCUAAAUAAUGGUCUUUAUUUUAUACCAUAGACAAUUUUAUAAAAGUUAUUGGGCGCUUUGUACAGGGUAUUGUAUGAAUAAAAUUCUCUUAAAUUAAA